GUUGUAAAGCUCUUUCGUCGGGGAAGAAAAUGACUGUACCCGAAUAAGAAGGUCCGGCUAACUUCGUGCCAGCAGCCGCGGUAAUACGAAGGGACCUAGCGUAGUUCGGAAUUACUGGGCUUAAAGAGUUCGUAGGUGGUUGAAAAAGUUGGUGGUGAAAUCCCAGAGCUUAACUCUGGAACUGCCAUCAAAACUUUUCAGCUAGAGUAUGAUAGAGGAAAGCAGAAUUUCUAGUGUAGAGGUGAAAUUCGUAGAUAUUAGAAAGAAUACCAAUUGCGAAGGCAGCUUUCUGGAUCAUUACUGACACUGAGGAACGAAAGCAUGGGUAGCGAAGAGGAUUAGAUACCCUCGUAGUCCAUGCCGUAAACGAUGUGUGUUAGACGUUGGAAAUUUAUUUUCAGUGUCGCAGUGAAAGCGAUAAACACACCGCCUGGGGAGUACGACCGCAAGGUUAAAACUCAAAUGAAUUGACGGGGACCCGCACAAGUAGUGGAGCAUGUGGUUUAAUUCGAAGAUACGCGCAGAACCUUACCAACACUUGACAUGUUCGUCGCGACUUUAAGAGAUUAAAGUUUUCGGUUCGGCCGGACGAAACACAGGUGCUGCAUGGCUGUCGUCAGCUCGUGUCGUGAGAUGUUGGGUUAAGUCCCGCAACGAGCGCAACCCUCACUUUUAGUUGCCAUCAUUUAGUUGGGCACUCUGAAAGAACUGCCAGUGAUAAGCUGGAGGAAGGUGGGGAUGACGUCAAGUCCUCAUGGCCCUUACGUGUUGGGCUACACACGUGCUACAAUGGUAUAUACAACAGGAAGCAAGACGGCGACGUUAAGCAAAUCCUCAAAAGAUACCUCAGUUCGGAUUGCACUCUGCAACUCGAGUGCAUGAAGCUGGAAUUACUAGUAAU
Molecule: ribosomal RNA, 901 nt
Filed under: marine metagenome
Description: bacterial SSU rRNA
Rfam family: Bacterial small subunit ribosomal RNA
Source: RNAcentral